Molecule: ribosomal RNA, 484 nt
Filed under: uncultured bacterium
Lineage: Bacteria
Description: partial 16S ribosomal RNA
Rfam family: Bacterial small subunit ribosomal RNA
Source: RNAcentral
AUUGAACGCUGGCGGCAGGCCUAACACAUGCAAGUCGAGCGGCUGAAGGGAGCUUGCUCGUGGAUUCAGCGGCGGACGGGUGAAUAAUGCCUAGGAACCUCGCUGGUAGCGGGGGAUAACGUCCGGAAACGGGCGCUAAUACCGCAUACGUCCUGAGGGCGAACGUGGGGGAUCUUCGGACCUCCCGCUCUCAGACGAGCCGAGGUCGGAUUAGCUAGUUGGUGGGGUAAAGGCCUACCAAGGCGACGAUCCGUAGCUGGUCUGAGAGGAUGAUCAGUCACACUGGAACUGAGACACGGUCCAGACUCCUACGGGAGGCAGCAGUGGGGAAUAUUGGACAAUGGGCGAAAGCCUGAUCCAGCCAUGCCGCGUGUGUGAAGAAGGCCUUCGGAUUGUAAAGCACUUUUGUUGGGGAGGAAAAGCAGUAAGUUAAUACCUCGCUGUUUUGACGUUACCAACAGAAUAAGCACCGGCUAACUUCGUG